UCAGCAGGGAAAGAAAUCUCUCUUGAGUUUGUCAGUCUGGCUUAGUGAAGAGGGGUAGGACAAGAGGGAGAACCAAGUCCCAUAUCCUCCUCUCCCCUCAAUGAAAGGAUUGCAUUAAGUGGCCUAUUGACUUCAUGGGCUUCCAGUAAAAUGCCACUACACUUUAUACACUUCAGUAAUUUCACUGACCCAGUAAUAUGGGAGGAGCUCUUGAUUCUGGCACAAUGCACUCAGUCACACAAUAGGUAGUAUCUGCUCUUAUGGCAGUACCAAGAGGGAGAUUGACUUAGGGGAAUUCGCAUGACAGAUGGUACUGAAGGAAUCCUAAAGCAAAUUUAGGAAGGAAAGAAAACUCUGUGGAGCAGAAUGGUAAAAACUUGAUUGAUCUUGAUUUCCAGGAAAAAUACAGACUAUGAGAAAGGAAUAUCUUCCUGAAAUCCGGCUCUUAAACAGAAUGUGUCAGAGAGGUUACCACAAGGGUAACUGCAAGGCCUUCAUAGUGAGGUUGCUUUUUGAUCCUCUGAUGUGAACAGCUCUUCCUGUCAUAGGACUCUGGUGUUGAAAUACUCUAAUGA
Dipodomys ordii (Ord's kangaroo rat) is the source of this 575-nucleotide non-coding RNA. NCBI's taxonomy places the organism in Eukaryota, Metazoa, Chordata, Mammalia, Rodentia, Heteromyidae. The record is from Rfam.